Non-coding RNA from Monascus purpureus, 106 nucleotides. The record is from the annotation of a GenBank genome assembly. Lineage: Eukaryota; Fungi; Ascomycota; Eurotiomycetes; Eurotiales; Aspergillaceae.
GACACUUUGGCCGAGUGGUUAAGGCGCAGGUCUGCUAUUGGUUCCCGUCUGGGAAUAUAGUGAAUCUGUCCCUUCGGGGGCGUGAGUUCGAAUCUCACAGGUGUCG